GUCCUUGUCGUAAACGAUGUAUACUUGAUGUAGUUAGGCUCAACCCUGACUGUGUCGUAGCUAACGCGAUAAGUAUACCGCCUGAGGAGUACGCUCGCAAGGGUGAAACUCAAAAGAAUUGACGGGGGCCCGCACAAGCAGUGGAGCAUGUGGUUUAAUUCGAUGCAACGCGAAGAACCUUACCUGGGCUCGAAAUGCAGAGGGCGAUACCAGAAAUGGUAUUUUCCGUAAGGACUUCUGUAUAGGUGCUGCAUGGCUGUCGU
Molecule: ribosomal RNA, 263 nt
Filed under: uncultured bacterium
Lineage: Bacteria
Description: partial 16S ribosomal RNA
Rfam family: Bacterial small subunit ribosomal RNA
Source: RNAcentral